AUGCCGGAGAUUCUGAACAUCUUCCGGGCCUCCCCAGGCACCCCCGCCUUCUGGCUGCCUCUCUCUGCUCAGGGCCAAGGUUCUGUCUUCACAGCCUCCAUACAGAGCCCCUUUGUCUUCCCCUUGAUCCCCUGCUGCAAACACAUUGCCUCCGAUGCCACCUCCGUGACCUUAGGCUGCCUGGCCACGGGCUACUUCCCGGAGCCGGUGAUGGUGACCUGGGACGCAGGCUCCCUCAACAGGAGCACUAUGACCUUACCAGCCACCACCUUCACGCCCUCCGGUCACUAUGCCACCAUCAGCUUGCUGACCGUCUCGGGUGCGUGGGCCAAGGAGACGUUCACCUGCCAUGUGGUGCACACUCCAUCGUCUGCAGACAAAGAGGUCAACAAAACCUUUGGCGUCUGCUCCAGGAACUUCACCCCACCCACCGUGAAGAUCUUACAGUCAUCCUGCGAUGACGACGGGCACUUUCCCCCGACCAUCCAGCUCCUGUGCCUCAUCUCCGGGUACACCCCAGGGGCCAUCAACGUCACCUGGCUGGAGAACGGGCAGGUCAUGGAAGUGAACUCGCCCACCCCUCCUGCCACGCAGGAGGGUGAGCUGGCCUCCACACAAAGUGAGUUCACCCUCCCCCAGAAGCACUGGCUGUCGGACCGCACUUACACCUGCCAGGUCACCUAUCAAGGUGGUACCUAUGAGGACAGCACCAAGAAGUGUGCAGAUUCCAACCCGAGAGGGGUGAGUGCCUACCUAAGCCGGCCCAGCCCGUUUGACCUGUUCAUCAGCAAGUCGCCCACAAUCACCUGUCUGGUGGUGGACCUGGCACCCAGCAAGGAGACCGUGAACCUGACCUGGUCCCGGGCCAGUGGGAAGCCUGUGCCCCAGGUCCGCCCAAAGCGGGAGAGGCAGCGCAAUGGCACGUUAACCGUUACGUCCAUCCUGCCGGUGGUCACCCAAGACUGGAUCGAGGGGGAGACCUACCAGUGCAGGGUGACCCACCCCCACCUCCCCAGGGCCCUCGUGCGGUCCAUGACCAAGACCAGCGGCCCGCGUGCUGCCCCGGAAGUCUAUGUGUUUGCAACGCCAGAGAAGCUAGAGAGCCGGGACAAGCGCACCCUCGCCUGCCUGAUCCAGAACUUCAUGCCUGAGGACAUAUCGGUGCAGUGGCUGCACAGCGACGUGCAGCUCCCGGACGCCCGGCACAGCGUGACGCAGCCCCGCAAGACCAAGGGCUCCGGCUUCUUCGUCUUCAGCCGCCUGGAGGUGACCAAGGCCGAAUGGGAGCAGAAAGACGAGUUCAUCUGCCGUGCAGUCCAUGAGGCAGCGAGCCCCUCAUGGAUCGUCCAGCAAGCGGUGUCUGUAAAUCUCGGUAAAUGAUGCACUCCUGCCUCCCUCCCUCUCAGGGCUCCAUCCAGCUGUGCAGUGGGGAGGGCUGGCCAGACCUUCUGUCCACUGUUGCAACCACCCCAGGAAGCCACCCGCAAUAAACCGUGCCUGCUCAGAG
Non-coding RNA from Chlorocebus sabaeus (green monkey), 1507 nucleotides. NCBI's taxonomy places the organism in Eukaryota, Metazoa, Chordata, Mammalia, Primates, Cercopithecidae. The record is from the annotation of a RefSeq genome assembly.